GAAAGAGUGAGGCACAUCUUGAGGAAGUUAGCAAAACAACAGAAGUAGAACAAAAGGCACAUCAUACUGAAGGUAAAAAUAAUUGUUUUCUUUCUUUCUUUCUUUCUUUCUUUUUUUCUUUCUUUCUUUCUUUUACAAUUAUCGUUUUAUUGUAAUAGUCUUUAUUUGUGAUACUAACUUGGUAGUUGCGUUAGCUUUUAUAGAUUUUGAUCCUUGUCCUUUUCGCAGUGGUGUUUGUAGACGAUUGGCAGCUUUACAUCUGUCCACAGAAUGGGAUUGGUGCAAUACUCUGUGGCCCUCCUGAUGUUAUCCACACAGUUGGUGCUCAGCUUUCCCACAGUAUGUAUCAGAGUGAUUGUACAACAUGUGAACACUGUCCUGCUGGAAGUUACACAACUGACUUGAACUAUGAAGAUGAAUGCCAUCGCUGCUUUGGAGACUGCAACCCUAAGUUUCAUCUUAAAGUGGUUCAGAACUGCACCAGUACGUCUGAUAUGAAAUGUGACUGCGAGGAUGGUUUUAGAUGCAUCAGGUGGGCCCAUGACAAAAAGAACUGCUUGUCUUGUGAGAAGAUGCCAGACCCAACCCCAACCAAAGCAGCAGCUACAGAGAUCUCAGUCAGAGAUAAACACACGCCUUUCUCAGUUUCCUCCGGACAUACCAGCACUUCUCCCAAACCCUGCCAAUCUCCAGGGUGUCACCCAACGAAAGAGCCGAAUCCCACGGGAGGUCAUGCCAACCAUUACCUGGCAGCUAUUUUCAUUCCAGUGGGUGUCCUUGCAACUUUGGCCCUUCUCACCUUGUUCUGUGUCUGUCGUCCAAGAGAUGAGACAUAUAUAAGGCAAACUAUUGCAAAGCUCUGGAAUGAGGAAGGGCGAGGUGCUUCUCACAAGUCAAGGGAGCCAACUCAUCAGUUCCCCAGAGACUCAUUCAGUACAAAGCAGCAGCCCUCAACACCUUCAGCAGCCAAUCUUGGUCCAGUCCAUGUGCACAAUCCAGGCACAGUCAUCUUUAGCUUGCUCAGUCAAUUUACGGGUCAAGUCGGGCCAACGACCGAAUGUGGGAAGACGGCUGAGAGAGCGAGGAGAGAGGAAGAGGAUGAGAGAAACUGUCCAGUGUUUCAUCCUGCAUCUUCUCCCAGCAUUCAUCUCUCUGAGGAGGAGAGGAGUGGAGAGAAUGACACCAUUUUCUUCCCUUCCCAGGAGCAGGGGAAAGACUCCCACAUGUCGAAAGAGGAGAUCCUAUGAUGCAUCUCAAAAAAUUCAGAAGACUUGGAUACAACAAACUUUGAAACCACAGAUGAGUAUGGAUCAUAUUCGUCUUUCCUCAGCAAGCUGCGGAUGCACUGACUUUGUUUCUGCAGCUUCUGGAAAACACUCACC
Astatotilapia calliptera (eastern happy) is the source of this 1382-nucleotide long non-coding RNA. Lineage: Eukaryota; Metazoa; Chordata; Actinopteri; Cichliformes; Cichlidae. The record is from Ensembl.